GCCAGCAUGGCACAGUGGUUUGAGUGUUGGACUAUGACUCUGGAGGCCAGGGUUUGAUUCCCAGCUCAGCCA
This is a non-coding RNA of Phrynosoma platyrhinos (Desert horned lizard), 72 nucleotides long. Lineage: Eukaryota; Metazoa; Chordata; Lepidosauria; Squamata; Phrynosomatidae. The record is from the annotation of a GenBank genome assembly.